CUAGUAAUGGCAGGUCAGCAUACUGCCGUGAAUACGUUCCCGGGCCUUGUACACACCGCCCGUCACACCAUGAGAGUUGGGAAUACCCGAAGCCUGUGAGCUAACUAUAUGAGGCAGCAGUCGAAGGUAGAAUCAAUGAUUGGGGUGAAGUCGUAACAAGGUACC
RNAcentral lists this ribosomal RNA (165 nucleotides) under uncultured bacterium. RNAcentral describes it as "partial 16S ribosomal RNA". It matches the Rfam family "Bacterial small subunit ribosomal RNA", at positions 1335 to 1500 of the family's 1533-position model. The record is from RNAcentral.